GAUGAAGAACGUAGCGAAAUGCGAUAAGUAGUGUGAAUUGCAGAAUUCCGUGAAUCAUCGAAUCUUUGAACGCACAUUGCGCCCCUUGGUAUUCCGGGGGGCAUGCCUGUUCGAGCGUCAUUACAACCCUCAAGCUCUGCUUGGUCUUGGGCGUCACCGGUCCCCGGUGUGCCUUAAAAUCAGUGGCGGCGCCAUCUGGCUCUAAGCGUAGUACAUACUCUCGCUACAGACGUCCGGUGGAUGCUGGCCAGCAACCCCCAAUUUAUCAAGGUUGACCUCGGAUCAGGUAGGGAUACCCGCUGAACUUAAGCAUAUCAAUAAGCGGAGGA
RNAcentral lists this unclassified non-coding RNA (329 nucleotides) under soil metagenome. RNAcentral's name for it is "partial contains 5.8S ribosomal RNA, internal transcribed spacer 2, and large subunit ribosomal RNA". The stretch from base 1 to 120 matches the Rfam family "5.8S ribosomal RNA", at positions 35 to 154 of the family's 154-position model. The record is from RNAcentral.